CUCUACAGAACUCAAAUAAAAUAACAACUCCCUUAACUUUAAUGCAAAUUAAGAAACAAAUAUAUAAGAUUUAAAAUGUUGAAAAUAUAAGAGCAAGCCAAAAAAAAUUAUUAACACUUAACAAAAUAUACAAAUCAAAACUAUUGUACACUUGCUAACAUUAUCAAUAAUAAUAAAAAAUCACUUGACACCAAAUAAAGCACACCAGCAAGUGCUCUGUAAUCUUAAUAAACUAAUGUAUGCCCGUGCUGCUUGAAGGUAUGGUGUAAAUAAUAUUUUUUUUUGAAUAAUUUUCAUUUAUCAUUCUCUCUUAAUCUAGGAACAUUGACAAUCAAAUAUACCUGAAAUUCUGUUUAUCUAUGACACACAAAAUGAAUAGAUAGCAUGCAUUUGAGCAAGAGGAUCCCUUUUAUUAUAGAUACAACUUCAAAAUAAGAGGAAUAACAAAAUGGUGCUUUCCUUUUGGGACACCCCAUGCCAAUACGAAAAUGGUGUUCUUGAUCAAAAUCCAAAUAGCAGACAAUUCCAAAUGUCUACAUCUCAAUCCAAAUCAAAUCAAAUCAAAUGUAUAUCUAUAUAAUAAAACAGAACGGCUUUUGAAAAUAUAUAAAAUGUAUCAGAGAUACAUUUCAUUUUAAGGGCUCAAAUUAAUUGUGAUAAACAUCAAUGGUUGAGAUGAUGUUUUAAUUCCCGCUCAAACACUCGGUGCUCUCUCCCUCUCCCACUUACUCUCGUCUCCUCCUCAUUCCGUCUUUAUCUCUCUCUCUCUCUCUAUUGCACGUCUCUUCUUAUUCCCUCCUUAUCUCUAUCUCUCUCUUUGUUCCUCUCCUUUAUCUCUAGCUCCUGACGCUACCUCUCUUCUUCUCUUUCACCCGAUUUCUGCCUCUCCCUUUCUCUCUCAGUGGCUUCAAUUCGCAGCCCUCCCACUCGCUUUUUGAAGGCUAGGGUUUUCGAUUAAGAACCGCGAAACCGAGUUGGCUCCUCCCACCACCACAGCUGCCGCCGUUGUUUUUUCUUUCUCUCUCUGCUUCGAACCCCGAUUGGAGCUCUCCGGUUGCUAACUCACUGGCUAUGGCUAUUGCAUCUGCUGCUAAUUUAUCAUAGAAGCAGCUUACAGAGCUACUUCAGAGCUACACCAAACAUGAAGCUUCUAUUUAUGCAAGGUAUUUUACAUUCAGUUCUUCAGUUCUUUGUCUGUCUUGAUCGCUAUUUUACGUUGAAUUUCCUUCGGCUCCCUGCAAUUCAAACCUCAAAACAGAGGUAUUAUACAUUGUCUCUUUAUUUCUUCAAUUCUUUCUUCAGUUCUUUGAGAAUCCUGUGGCUUCAGUUUUAGGGCUAAAUUUUGAAUCAAUCAGAUAAGAAGCUGAAAACUCUUGCAAAGAGAAAUCUGUGGCGCCAGUGUGCAGUCAAAUAACACUUUCUGCAGUUCAAGCUAUUAGUUUUAUCCAAGCUACUUGAUGCUCUUCAAGGCACUAGCAGAGAACCAAGUCUCAGAGUUAAUUUGGAGCCCCUUCCUUAACAAUAGCUGAAAGUCAAUGAUGAUGCUUUUUUAUUUCGAAGAAGGAUAUGGGGGCUUCUGGUAUGAUAAUUCCUAAUCAUAGGGCCUGGUGGUCUCAUGAAAACAUUAUACCUUCACAUAUGGAUCAGCUAUAGAAGUUGGAGCUCUUAGGGAGGUAGUUUAGUUUUGAUUAAUACAGAACAUUAGAAACUGAAAUUAAUAUUACUUUCAAAAUGUGAACAAAAUUAAUUUUCAAUUAGAUGAGGCGAUGUAAAUAAAAAUAAGAAAUGAUAUGUUUGGAUAAUAAUUUAUAAAUGAUGAUAUUUAAAAAAUAUAAGUUGAUUAAAAAAAUAAUUUAAUAAUUUAAUAUUAUUAUAUUUAAUAAUAUUUAAAUCACAUUAUGGAAAUUUCUUAGUUUGGUUAUUGCUAAUGGUUUGCUUCGAAUUCAUAACUCUUAACUUAAACCCUUCAAUAGAUAAGCCAAUUAAGUUGCUUUGAAUCCUAAUUCUUAACUUAAACCUAUUGAUAUACGAGCUUAUUUAGCUACUCUGGUUUGGUUCCUCUCCAUUUGUGGCAAGAAAUGGGGAUCUCAAUUUCAAUGUAACAGGUUGCAACAUAUCAUCAAAACCCAAUAUUAUAAGUCCAAGGACAACCACUUUCUGAUGGAGCCCACCAUAGAACAAACAAUCCAAACUUUUUCUUGGCCUUCUCAAUGGAACAGAAAACAUCUGAUUUGGCUUAUUUAGUUGCUCUUAUUUAGGAGUCGUUUGGUUUUGGCUUUGGCUUUGGCUUUCUUAGUUGGCUUUUUAGUUUUUUUUGACUUUUUUAGCCCGAGACUUUUUUAGUCGUUUGGUAUUCUUGUUUGACUUUUUGGCUUUAGAAUGACAAA
This is a non-coding RNA of Camellia sinensis, 2387 nucleotides long. The record is from RefSeq and is a predicted model, not a curated record. NCBI's taxonomy places the organism in Eukaryota, Viridiplantae, Streptophyta, Magnoliopsida, Ericales, Theaceae.